GCCUCGGAAGAGAUUUCGGUCAAUGGAAGAGGCUAUUUAGUGGCGGACGGGUGAGUAACGCGUGAGGAACCUGCCUUUCAGAGGGGGACAACAGUUGGAAACGACUGCUAAUACCGCAUAACAUAUGUUUGUCGCAUGGCAGAUAUAUCAAAGAUUUAUCGCUGAGAGAUGGCCUCGCGUCUGAUUAGCUAGUUGGUAGGGUAACGGCCUACCAAGGCGACGAUCAGUAGCCGGACUGAGAGGUUGGCCGGCCACAUUGGGACUGAGAUACGGCCCAGACUCCUACGGGAGGCAGCAGUGGGGAAUAUUGGGCAAUGGGCGCAAGCCUGACCCAGCAACGCCGCGUGAAGGAAGAAGGCUUUCGGGUUGUAAACUUCUUUUAAGAGGGAAGAGCAGAAGACGGUACCUCUUGAAUAAGCUCCGGCUAACUACGUGCCAGCAGCCGCGGUAAUACGUAGGGAGCGAGCGUUGUCCGGAUUUACUGGGUGUAAAGGGCGUGCAGCCGGGAGUACAAGUCAGAUGUGAAAUCCCGCGGCUCAACCGCGGAACUGCAUUUGAAACUGUAUUUCUUGAGUACUGGAGAGGCAGACGGAAUUCCUAGUGUAGCGGUGAAAUGCGUAGAUAUUAGGAGGAACACCAGUGGCGAAGGCGGUCUGCUGGACAGCAACUGACGGUGAGGCGCGAAAGCGUGGGGAGCAAACAGGAUUAGAUACCCUGGUAGUCCACGCUGUAAACGAUGGAUACUAGGUGUGCGGGGACUGACCCCCUGCGUGCCGCAGUUAACACAAUAAGUAUCCCACCUGGGGAGUACGAUCGCAAGGUUGAAACUCNAAGGAAUUGACGGGGGCCCGCACAAGCGGUGGNUUAUGUGGUUUAAUUCGAU
RNAcentral lists this ribosomal RNA (883 nucleotides) under uncultured bacterium. RNAcentral describes it as "bacterial SSU rRNA". It matches the Rfam family "Bacterial small subunit ribosomal RNA", at positions 61 to 955 of the family's 1533-position model. The record is from RNAcentral.